This 146-nucleotide transfer RNA is filed under the name Ramalina farinacea. Its description in RNAcentral is "tRNA-Leu". The record is from RNAcentral. Lineage: Eukaryota; Fungi; Ascomycota; Lecanoromycetes; Lecanorales; Ramalinaceae.
GCUUGGGUGGUGCAGUGGUAGCACGUCGUGGUCAAAGGGUAAGCCGAUGUCCCGCGCAAGGGUGACAAUGGUCUCUGACCUCUUACUGCCAGCCUAGUUGGAUAAUGACCUUCACGAAGACCCAGGCUCAAAUCCUGGUCCGAGCA